Long non-coding RNA from Falco peregrinus (peregrine falcon), 1531 nucleotides. RefSeq lists it as uncharacterized. Lineage: Eukaryota; Metazoa; Chordata; Aves; Falconiformes; Falconidae. The transcript has 3 exons. The record is from RefSeq and is a predicted model, not a curated record.
GGCCGCCCUGACCCCGCGCGGCCGCCGUACGGAAGAUGGCGGCGGGGCCCGGCCCGGCCCGGCCCGCUCCCACCCCGCCCCGGCGCAGGAACAGACCCCAAAAUGGCGCUGUCGGACCGUUUAUUGGGGGUUGCUGUAGUUGCAGUCACGCCGGACGAGGGACUGCACCUGAUCCAGCAGUUGCUGGAAGAGCAUCACGUCUCGCUCCAGGCGGCGGAUGGUGCUGAGCGCCGAGUCUUUGAACAGACAUGAAGUUACUCUUACUAGCACGGUCUGUGCCCAGCGAUAACAAACCCUUGGGAGUUCCUAACGCGGAUGAAAAGGUGCAAUAUUUCUGCCGUACCCUAAAUACAGAAAUAAAACACAUUCUUAAAUGUGCGGUUCAGCAUUGCACACACACACACACACACAGAGAUUUUUUUGGAAGCUCGUCUGAUUCUGCCCCGCCUCAGCAGAGCAAAAUUGAUUUGCAAGUGUGCCUAAAAUCCAAAAGCAUUGCUUUUACAGAUAUAUAUAUUUAAUUUCCUCCUAAACCCCCCCCCCCCCCCUUUCACACUGUAAUUUCUCCCUGAGACCCCGGCGUGACGCUGGGGCGGCCGGAGCGGAGGAGGCUGUGCAGUAGGUUGUGUAGGUCAGCAGCGGGAGUCACAUCCCCUCCCGACACCAGCCCUGACAAUGAGCCCAGCCUUGAAACCAGGUGGGGGUUGGGGGUUCAACACCUUAGUUGACCACCUCGAGGGCUGCUGCGUCUGGAAUGUCAUCAAAACGCACGCGAGCAAGCUGACAGGCAUGUGUGUGAAAUACUUGACGCAGCCGGAGUCAUUCUUACACAUACUGCCCUAAAACACCUCCUUAACCUAAAAAAACCAACAGGCACGCAGAGGAGGAAAGGGAUGCUCCCAAAAGAUUCCGCAGCGAUAGCGGGGAGCUGCUCACCUUUUCCUGCAUCUUCUCCAGAAGCUUGCUCUUGGCUCGGACCUCCUCCUGGAUGGAGUCGUAGACGUUAAGCAGGACCCAGUCACUGCUGUCCUCGUUAGAUUGCUGCAGGGCAGCCACCAGCUGCAUCCUCCGCUCGUCCGCGUAUUUUUUCCGGCGUUUAUGCUUUUCUUUGAGGUCCUUGUUUUUAGCCUGCUCCCCUCCUACUACCUGUUGCUCCAGCAUCUGCAGCCUGGGAAGGGCAAACGCUUCUCUUAGCUUAGCAGGACAAAGAACUGUCCACGUGAGCACGGAGGACACACGUCCCCACCUCACCGACAUCUGGGGAGACACCAGAAAACAUCCAGAAAACGUCCAGAAAAUGGUGAUUUCUGAUGAGAUUUGCUGCCCUGAGUAAUCGUGGAAAAUUCUACUUAAUUUAUUAAGUUUCUGUCAUAAAUACUCCUGUGGAUGCAAGGCAGCGUGUGUGUUAUUGUGUCAACAGGUGUGUCUGGAAAUCUGUAUCUACGCUCCCAGAACUCUUUUUUUAAAAGCCCUGUUUUGUGAAAUUUACAUUUAAAUUCUUAUUGAAAUAUACAUUGACUAUAGCACCAUA